This 323-nucleotide unclassified non-coding RNA is filed under the name soil metagenome. Its description in RNAcentral is "partial contains 5.8S ribosomal RNA, internal transcribed spacer 2, and large subunit ribosomal RNA". The stretch from base 1 to 120 matches the Rfam family "5.8S ribosomal RNA", at positions 35 to 154 of the family's 154-position model. The record is from RNAcentral.
GAUGAAGAACGUAGCGAAAUGUGAUAAGUAAUGCGAAUUGCAGAAUUCAGUGAGUCAUCGAAUCUUUGAACGCACAUUGCGCCCUGUGGUAUUCCGCAGGGCAUGCCUGUUCGAGCGUCAUUUCAACCCUCAAGCUCUGCUUGGUGUUGGGCCCUGCCCGCUGCGGCCGGCCCUAAAGACAGUGGCGGUGCCGCCUGGCCCUGAGCGUAGUACAUCUCUCGCUCCAGUGCCCGGUGGUAGCCUGCCAGAACCCCAACUCUCGUGGUUGACCUCGGAUCAGGGAGGGAUACCCGCUGAACUUAAGCAUAUCAAUAAGCGGAGGA